Molecule: ribosomal RNA, 752 nt
Filed under: Lactococcus sp. HXF0037
Lineage: Bacteria; Bacillati; Bacillota; Bacilli; Lactobacillales; Streptococcaceae
Description: bacterial SSU rRNA
Rfam family: Bacterial small subunit ribosomal RNA
Source: RNAcentral
GCGCUGAAGUUGGUACUUGUACCAACUGGAUGAGCAGCGAACGGGUGAGUAACGCGUGGGGAAUCUGCCUUUGAGCGGGGGACAACAUUUGGAAACGAAUGCUAAUACCGCAUAAAAACUUUAAACACAAGUUUUAAGUUUGAAAGAUGCAAUUGCAUCACUCAAAGAUGAUCCCGCGUUGUAUUAGCUAGUUGGUGAGGUAAAGGCUCACCAAGGCGAUGAUACAUAGCCGACCUGAGAGGGUGAUCGGCCACAUUGGGACUGAGACACGGCCCAAACUCCUACGGGAGGCAGCAGUAGGGAAUCUUCGGCAAUGGACGAAAGUCUGACCGAGCAACGCCGCGUGAGUGAAGAAGGUUUUCGGAUCGUAAAACUCUGUUGGUAGAGAAGAACGUUGGUGAGAGUGGAAAGCUCAUCAAGUGACGGUAACUACCCAGAAAGGGACGGCUAACUACGUGCCAGCAGCCGCGGUAAUACGUAGGUCCCGAGCGUUGUCCGGAUUUAUUGGGCGUAAAGCGAGCGCAGGUGGUUUAUUAAGUCUGGUGUAAAAGGCAGUGGCUCAACCAUUGUAUGCAUUGGAAACUGGUAGACUUGAGUGCAGGAGAGGAGAGUGGAAUUCCAUGUGUAGCGGUGAAAUGCGUAGAUAUAUGGAGGAACACCGGUGGCGAAAGCGGCUCUCUGGCCUGUAACUGACACUGAGGCUCGAAAGCGUGGGGAGCAACAGGAUAGAUACCCUGGUAGUCACGCCGUAA